This 77-nucleotide transfer RNA is filed under the name Clostridia bacterium. RNAcentral's name for it is "tRNA-His". It matches the Rfam family "tRNA". From Rfam's summary of the family: Transfer RNA (tRNA) molecules are approximately 80 nucleotides in length. RNAcentral also lists the same sequence under 2 other names. The record is from RNAcentral. Lineage: Bacteria; Bacillati; Bacillota; Clostridia.
GUGGGUAUAGCGUAGUUGGUUAACGCGCAAGUUUGUGGCACUUGAGACCAUCGGUUCGAAUCCGAUUAUCCACCCCA